Long non-coding RNA from Dendrobium catenatum, 742 nucleotides. RefSeq lists it as uncharacterized. The record is from RefSeq and is a predicted model, not a curated record. The transcript is spliced from 3 exons. Lineage: Eukaryota; Viridiplantae; Streptophyta; Magnoliopsida; Asparagales; Orchidaceae.
GUUCACUUGUUAGAUUUUCAAUGGAUGUUUGGCUACUUCUGGUGUUGGCACAUAAUAAUUUUCGAGCGGUAGAGAGAGGAGGGCGGGCGUGCGUGUCUCUGCCGCGAUCUUGUGCAUGCUCUGCUCGGCCCAAGCAAGCAAGAAGCAAUAGGUUUCAAAAUCAUAAAAGGAAGAUUUUCUUGCAUGGGCUACUCUUUACUUGUUCAUUUAGCAGCAUUGUGAUAACAAUUGAGAGUGGAAGAUUGGGAUUGUAAGAUGAUUUGUGAUCCAUUUUACAAACAGCUAAAUCAAAGGGAUGACAUGGUUUCUCUCCUUCGUUCUAAUAUCUGCUGGUUGGGGGCAUCCUUUAUUUGAAUUAUUUCAUUCUCUUUUAUGGUACAUAAUGAUUUAAAGGGGCUAUGAUGAUGGUGCCCAAGCAGAUGUUGCAAGGUGAUCCUAGGAGGUCUAAAUGCAGGCAACUGAUUUCCUUGCUGUUUCAUACUGCAUGUAUACAUUUUGAUAAUUCUUCAAUAGCAGCAGCAGCAACAGCAUCUUCAUCAUCAUCAUCAACUUCUUCUUUUUCUUCAGACCUAAAACCAAAUGGAUCACAUGCAUUAUCAGUCUAUAUAUCAUUUUGAUGAUGAAAAAUGGGCAAAUCCGAGCUUCCUUAUUUGACACAAAUGAGAUUCUCUAAAAUUUGAAACUUUUUGGGAAUUUGUAUGAUUUUAAUUGAUUCAUUUUAUGUGAGUUUUCUUAAUUAAAA